GAUGAACGCUGGCGGCGUGCUUAACACAUGCAAGUCGAACGGAGUACCCCUGAAGGAGUUUUCGGACAACUGAUGGGACUACUUAGUGGCGGACGGGUGAGUAACGCGUGAGUAACCUGCCUUGGAGUGGGGAAUAACAGCUGGAAACAGCUGCUAAUACCGCAUAAUAUGUCUGUGUCGCAUGGCACUGGACAUCAAAGAUUUAUCGCUCUGAGAUGGACUCGCGUCUGAUUAGCUAGUUGGCGGGGUAACGGCCCACCAAGGCGACGAUCAGUAGCCGGACUGAGAGGUUGGCCGGCCACAUUGGGACUGAGACACGGCCCAG
This 325-nucleotide ribosomal RNA is filed under the name uncultured bacterium. Its description in RNAcentral is "bacterial SSU rRNA". It matches the Rfam family "Bacterial small subunit ribosomal RNA", at positions 28 to 334 of the family's 1533-position model. The record is from RNAcentral.